Molecule: transfer RNA, 76 nt
Filed under: Chitinivibrionales bacterium
Lineage: Bacteria; Pseudomonadati; Fibrobacterota; Chitinivibrionia; Chitinivibrionales
Description: tRNA-Lys
Rfam family: tRNA
About the family: Transfer RNA (tRNA) molecules are approximately 80 nucleotides in length. Their secondary structure includes four short double-helical elements and three loops (D, anti-codon, and T loops). Further hydrogen bonds mediate the characteristic L-shaped molecular structure. tRNAs have two regions of fundamental functional importance: the anti-codon, which is responsible for specific mRNA codon recognition, and the 3' end, to which the tRNAs corresponding amino acid is attached (by aminoacyl-tRNA synthetases). tRNAs cope with the degeneracy of the genetic code in two manners: having more than one tRNA (with a specific anti-codon) for a particular amino acid; and 'wobble' base-pairing, i.e. permitting non-standard base-pairing at the 3rd anti-codon position.
Source: RNAcentral
GCGCCAGUAGCUCAGUUGGCAGAGCAGCUGACUCUUAAUCAGCGGGUCCGGGGUUCGAAUCCCUGCUGGUGUACCA